CUAGUGCAGACUCAGGAAAGAGGAGCCACCGCGCCGAACUGUAAGAGGAGCAGAUACAAGUGGGAGCCUUAAAAAAGCAAAAGAGGAGGACGGAUCUUCAUUGCAAGAAGGGAGACUCCCAUCCUCAAAGACUAGUUUUCAAACAUUAACUCUUAUCAUUCUCUCCUCCUACUCAUUUGUAACCUUUAAAUUAUACCAAAGCCCUCAACUUGGAAACUAGUUAAUGGCCCAUUAAACAUAUUAGGACAGCUCUGCAGCGAGCAGCAGCACUUAAGAAAGAAACAACAAGAAACAACAGGAGAAGUUUAAAUUUCUGGAGGAAAGAAAAAGCCCUGGAGAAACAGAUUAACAGAAUACAAAAAAAAAACAAAAACGAAGUAAUUUAAUUUAAUUUAAUUUGUUAAAUGAUUAAAUGAACUUCGAUGAUGAGUAUUAAAGAUUUUUUGAUAUCUGUGUAUAAAUAGGCAGUCAUGGUGUGAAACUUACAAAACACUAAUUGUGGCAUAGGUCAUCAGCCAAUAAAGGCCUCUUCAUAGUGAUUUUUAAAUGGCUUGUGUAAGCAUGGGUUUUCUUUCAUUAUUAUCUGUACUAUUGUUUACUGUACUUGUGUAUUUGUAUAUAAUUAACUCCAAAAGCUAUAAA
Molecule: long non-coding RNA, 642 nt
Organism: Pseudophryne corroboree (corroboree frog)
Lineage: Eukaryota; Metazoa; Chordata; Amphibia; Anura; Myobatrachidae
Exons: 3
Source: RefSeq, a predicted model, not a curated record